GCCAGCCACAAUGGAGGGAGAUUUGCCUUUUGCAGAGGCAAAGCUGAGCUCAGCAGGCCACAAUAACUGGAGGCUCUUCCCCCACUCAGCUCACCCUGGCAGGGACAGCCCAUAGACAGGGUCUUCUGCUGAUCUCUAACUUCACAGGAAGCCCAUUCUCUGCUUCCCCAGGUUCUGGGCUGCUUCCCUGGAGAAACUGCCUUUUCCUCUGACUCUUCACAGCACAGCUGCCUAGCCUCAGUUACAAAAAGCAAGGGAUGGCACAUUUGCCUGGGCUUGUCAUCGUGGGAUUCUGGCAGCUUGCAUUUCGUUGAUCCUCUGUUGUCAUGGAGCUGUGGAAACUGGAGCUUCCCCCGGGGAUGCUGAGGUUGAAACUACCCCAAAAACGGGCACUGUUCAGAAGAAAAAUCUUCCUGUGGCUCCUCUGAAUGUUACAAUGCAGACUCAACAGCUGAGGCGUGGCUCAAUGAUGAGUGAUAGAGUGUGUGCCAGCAUCAGUCCCUAAGAAAGAAAAAUCAGCUCACACACCAUAACAACACACUCCCAGGAGGGCUUCAGAUAUGUCAAGACCUCACCAGUGUGGUACCAGCCAGAGCAGGCCCAUCUAAUGCUGUCAACAACUACCGUGGCUCUCCCCAAGAUCAUGGCCCUCAAACACACUCUGGUGCAUUUAAUCUGAUUUUAAGAAAGUUUUUAAAAUACCAUCUUGAUUCCCUGAAGGGAUGUGGGGCCCUGGUGUUGAAGAGGCCCCAAAUUCCUAACCAUUUCUCAAAUAAAAGAUUUCCACAAGGAUGAACAGUUACAUAAACUGAUUGAAGACUCCAAGUUAACAAGGGAGGAGUCCUGUACUACCUGAGUCAAUUUGUUUCCAGUCAGUUAUAUCCAAGACUUGCCUGGGACACUGAGGAUGGAUGUGGAUGCUUAAGUACCCGCUGUGCCAGGUGUCAUGAUAUCUGAGACGGACAGAGAAAACUUGGUACCGAGACUAGUGUUGCCACUUUAGCCCAGCCAACAGUGGAGAGCCAGGAGAAGAGGCCGCCCCAUGGAAGUUCUUAGAAAUCUCCACCAGUCUGAGGAGCAAGGAUCACAGCACGGAGCCCACUGCAGGACGGCAAACGCAUCACCAGGUGGGCGGAUAAUGGGAAAAGGCAAUCCUCAAAGCACACAGGGAGUGACAAUGACCCCUAAAGUAUGGAGUUUGUCCCUCUUCACUUUCCUGUCGAUGUGAUGGAACACUGAUUAAAACUAAUCUGGGGGGAAGGGUUAAUUUGGCUGCCAGGUUACAAUCCAUGCCAUGGCAGGAUCCUGGAGGAAGGAACUGAAGCAGAGACCAUGGGGGAACUCUGUUUCCUGGCUCGUUCACUUUGGCUUGCUCAGCCUGCGCCCUCACCCAUCAUAUAGCAAUGAAGAAAAUGCACCAUAGACAUGACAUGGCCACAAGCCAGACUGAUGGAGGCAGUCCCUCUAUUGAGGGUCCCUCUUCCCAGGUAUAUCAAUUUGACAACCAAAGCUAAAUAUGCCAGGGUCAUUCAUCUUAACACAAUAGCCAAACCUGUGCAGGUCACAAGGUGACCCAGAACAGGCUGCCAUGGGGAAAUCAGCAAAUGUGCUGUUUUGAAUACAGGCACAUAUUUCUCUAAAAUAAAAAUGAGUCAUUUGGGGCUGAAGAGAUGGCUCAGUCAGUGAAGUUCUUGCCUCAUAAGCAUUGGUUCCAAACCCAAGUAUAGAAAGCACGUCCCAAUCCCAGCUCUGGGAAGAGCAAGGCAGAUGGAGGUCUAGGACUUGCUAGCCAGCCAGCCUGGCCUACUUGGCAAGUCCAGGCAAAAUGAGAGACUCUGCCUCAAAAAGCUAAGUAGAAUGACACCUGAGGUUGUCCUCUGGCCUCUCCACACACAUGAGUUAUCACAUACAAAUGUGUAUUCACCUGCACCCACAAGCACAUAGAUGGAUAUAUAACCACAUGUGAACACACACACACACACCAAAGAAUGAGUUGUCUGUGCCCACAAUGUAAAAUACCAAUGCAAUUAUAUUUAUUCAAAAUAAUUUAUAAAAGCCAAGAACUAAGAAGCAUGUCUUCACUAAGCCAGUGUUCUCUUCUAGAUGCACAAGCCUCUGGUCUAAUUUGCUGGCUUCUGACAUCCCUCUACAAACAUGUAUUCCUGCCCAUGAAGCCCGCACAGCAUGCUGACCAUGCUGAGUGCUCUCCUGCUGUCUGCAUGUUCCACUUCUAGUACAUGUAAGAACUCUUGGGACCCCGGUCUCCUGGGGACACCCAGAAGUCUGUAAGGGCAGGAUGCAGGCUGCUGAAUCCUGGAGGAUCCCUGGGGCUCUCUGGCAGCAAUUCUAGCCUAAACGAGUUCCAGGAGGAUUAGAGGCCCUGUCUCUAAGGAGAUUGAUAGUGCUUCUGAGGAUGACACUCAAGGUUGUCCUCAACCUCCACAUACAUGUUAACACACAUGCCUGUGUACCUUCACACACAUGCACAU
Non-coding RNA from Cricetulus griseus (Chinese hamster), 2489 nucleotides. NCBI's taxonomy places the organism in Eukaryota, Metazoa, Chordata, Mammalia, Rodentia, Cricetidae. The record is from RefSeq and is a predicted model, not a curated record.